UACGGGGGGAGCAAGCGUUGUUCGGAUUUACUGGGCGUAAAGGGCGCGUAGGCGGCCACCGCAAGUCGACUGUGAAAUCUCCGGGCUUAACCCGGAAAGGUCAGCCGAUACUGCGGGGCUAGAGUGCAGAAGGGGCAACUGGAAUUCUCGGUGUAGCGGUGAAAUGCGCAGAUAUCAGGAGGAACACCGGUGGCGAAGGCGGAUCUCUGGGCCUUACCUGACGCUCAGGUGCGAAAGCUAGGGGAGCGAACAGG
Molecule: ribosomal RNA, 254 nt
Filed under: uncultured bacterium
Lineage: Bacteria
Description: partial 16S ribosomal RNA
Rfam family: Bacterial small subunit ribosomal RNA
Source: RNAcentral